RNAcentral lists this ribosomal RNA (551 nucleotides) under uncultured Diversisporaceae. RNAcentral describes it as "SSU rRNA". It matches the Rfam family "Eukaryotic small subunit ribosomal RNA", at positions 548 to 1098 of the family's 1831-position model. The record is from RNAcentral. Lineage: Eukaryota; Fungi; Glomeromycota; Glomeromycetes; Diversisporales.
UUGGAGGGCAAGUCUGGUGCCAGCAGCCGCGGUAAUUCCAGCUCCAAUAGCGUAUAUUAAAGUUGUUGCAGUUAAAAAGCUCGUAGUUGAACCUCGGGGUCUACCCAUUGGUCAGGCUUAAUUGUCUGCACUGGUGAGAUGGAUCUCUACCUUCUGAGGAACUUUCAUGCCAUUCAUUUGGUGUGAUGGGAAAUCAGGACUGUUACUUUGAAAAAAUUAGAGUGUUUAAAGCAGACUAUCGUCUGAAUACAUUAGCAUGGAAUAAUGAAAUAGGACGGACUGAUUCUAUUUCGUUGGUUUCUAGGAUCACCGUAAUGAUUAAUAGGGAUAGUUGGGGGCAUUAGUAUUCAAUUGUCAGAGGUGAAAUUCUUGGAUUUAUUGAAGACUAACUACUGCGAAAGCAUUUGCCAAGGAUGCUUUCAUUAAUCAAGAACGAAAGUUAGGGGAUCGAAGACGAUCAGAUACCGUCGUAGUCUUAACCAUAAACUAUGCCGACUAGGGAUCGGACGAAGUUAAUUUUAUAAUGACGCGUUCGGCGCCUUACGGGAAAC